UGCUCCUAUCAAAGCAUUGGUCAUGACUAGGUCAUUAGUUCAACACCCGUCCUCCCAGGAACGGGGUGAGGUUGCCAAACCUAAGUAGCGCUACUAACUAAUACCAUGUUACCUUCCCGCAAAUAAAAGAAAACAUAAUUAACUGUUUCAGUUUAAAUGUGUGAAAUCAAUAAACCCAUCAUUCGUAUCCAAUCAGCACGACCCAUGACCACUCCAGCUACUUCAGACAGCAAGUUCCAAAUCCAUACAACCUAACAACCUGCGAGCAUGCAACAAGUGUAUCAGACAACGCUGGUGAGUUCAUAGUUUUACGAAAACGUUGUUUACCAAGUAUGUAGUUAAUCCAUUGAAGUUAAUUCCCGAAGUAAUGUUGAUAACAAUGUUGAUAAUACCCCAAUACAAGACGGCUUCUGAUUAUUUUGCCCUUUCUCCAAUGCUCCUAUCAAAGCAUUGGUCAUGACUAGGUCAUUAGUUC
RNAcentral lists this long non-coding RNA (475 nucleotides) under Helianthus annuus (common sunflower). RNAcentral describes it as "sRNA HanXRQr2_Chr04g0147881". Lineage: Eukaryota; Viridiplantae; Streptophyta; Magnoliopsida; Asterales; Asteraceae. The record is from RNAcentral.